Long non-coding RNA from Benincasa hispida (wax gourd), 375 nucleotides. RefSeq lists it as uncharacterized. Lineage: Eukaryota; Viridiplantae; Streptophyta; Magnoliopsida; Cucurbitales; Cucurbitaceae. The record is from RefSeq and is a predicted model, not a curated record.
AGAGAGCAACAUGACCAAAUUAGCUAUAAAUAUAGCUACUCAAUGAACAAGAAAGCACAUCCCACACUCAACUUCUAACAAAUAUAAAGAUCACAAUCUCAAGAUGUCGUCCAAUCCUCUCCGAUCAUGGCCAGCACUGAACUUCGUGGAUGCAAACACGGUAGCAAAUAUCAUCAAGAAAGAACAUCCUAACUUCCACAUAGUCAUAUUGUUGGCAGGAACACCAGUUACACUAGAUCUUCAACAUGGUCGAGUUCGACUAUUUACUAAUAUACAAGGACUAGUGGUUCAUGCUCCUCAAGAGGGCUGAAAUGUAAACAUAUAUGUUUCAUAGAAUAAUUAAAUAAAGUAGAAUCUAUUUCUACUACUUCUUUU